CCCUGGCUCAGAUUGAACGCUGGCGGCAGGCCUAACACAUGCAAGUCGAACGAUGACUAACUAGCUUGCUAGUUAUGAUUAGUGGCGGACGGGUGAGUAACAUUUAGGAAUCUGCCUAGUAGUGGGGGAUAGCUCGGGGAAACUCGAAUUAAUACCGCAUACGACCUACGGGUGAAAGGGGGCGCAAGCUCUUGCUAUUAGAUGAGCCUAAAUCAGAUUAGCUAGUUGGUGGGGUAAAGGCCUACCAAGGCGACGAUCUGUAACUGGUCUGAGAGGAUGAUCAGUCACACCGGAACUGAGACACGGUCCGGACUCCUACGGGAGGCAGCAGUGGGGAAUAUUGGACAAUGGGGGCAACCCUGAUCCAGCCAUGCCGCGUGUGUGAAGAAGGCCUUUUGGUUGUAAAGCACUUUAAGCAGGGAGGAGAGGCUAAUGGUUAAUACCCAUUAGAUUAGACGUUACCUGCAGAAUAAGCACCGGC
This 481-nucleotide ribosomal RNA is filed under the name Enhydrobacter sp. CL5.44. RNAcentral's name for it is "bacterial SSU rRNA". It matches the Rfam family "Bacterial small subunit ribosomal RNA", at positions 17 to 497 of the family's 1533-position model. The record is from RNAcentral. Lineage: Bacteria; Pseudomonadati; Pseudomonadota; Alphaproteobacteria; Hyphomicrobiales.